AGUGAACGCUGGCGGCGUGCUUAACACAUGCAAGUCGAACGAGAACGGAUUAUAGCUUGCUAUAAUUGUCAGCUAAGUGGCGCACGGGUGAGUAAUGUAUAGGUAAUAUGCCUCUUACUAAGGGAUAACAAAUGGAAACGUUUGCUAAUACCUUAUACUCCUUAUUAACAGAAGUUAAUAAGGGAAAGAUUUAUUGGUAAGAGAUUAGCCUGUAUUGUAUCAGUUAGUUGGUGGGGUAAUGGCUUACCAAGACUAUGACACAUAACUGGUUUGAGAGGAUGAACAGUCACACUGGGACUGAGACACGGACCAGACUCCUACGGGAAGCAGCAGUGGGGAAGAUUGCACAAUGGACGAAAGUCUGAUGCAGCAACGCCGCGUGGAGGAUGACACAUUUCUGUGCGUAACCUCCUUUUAUAUGAGAAGAUAAUGACGGUAUUAUAUGAAUAAGCACCGGCUAACUCCGUGCCAGCAGCCGCGGUAA
This 484-nucleotide ribosomal RNA is filed under the name uncultured bacterium. RNAcentral describes it as "partial 16S ribosomal RNA". It matches the Rfam family "Bacterial small subunit ribosomal RNA", at positions 29 to 523 of the family's 1533-position model. The record is from RNAcentral.